AGGGUUUGAUCAUGGCUCAGAACGUACGCUGGCGGCACGCCUAACACAUGCAAGUCGAACGAAGUAGCAAUACUUAGUGGCAGACGGGUGAGUAACAUGUGGGUAUCUGCCCUUUGGCCUGGAAUAACACGAGGAAACUUGUGCUAAUACUGGAUAAGUCUUUACGGAGAAAGCUUUAUGCACCAUUGGAUGAGCCCGCACUUGAUUAGUUUGUUGGUGGGGUAAUGGCCUACCAAGACUUUGAUCAAUAGCUGAUUUGAGAGGAUGAUCAGCCACAUUGGGACUGAGACACGGCCCAAACUCCUACGGGAGGCAGCAGUGGGGAAUCUUGCACAAUGGAGGAAACUCUGAUGCAGCGAUGCCGCGUGAGUGAAGAAGGCCCUUGGGUUGUAAAGCUCUUUCGUCGGGGAAGAAAAUGACUGUACCCGAAUAAGAAGGUCCGGCUAACUUCGUGCCAGCAGCCGCGGUAAUACGAAGGGACCUAGCGUAGUUCGGAAUUACUGGGCUUAAAGAGUUCGUAGGUGGUUGAAAAAGUUGGUGGUGAAAUCCCAGAGCUUAACUCUGGAACUGCCAUCAAAACUUUUCAGCUAGAGUUUGAUAGAGGAAAGCAGAAUUUCUAGUGUAGAGGUGAAAUUCGUAGAUAUUAGAAAGAAUACCAAUUGCGAAGGCAGCUUUCUGGAUCAUUACUGACGCUGAGGAACGAAAGCAUGGGUAGCGAAGAGGAUUAGAUACCCUCGUAGUCCAUGCCGUAAACGAUGUGUGUUAGACGUUGGAAAUUUAUUUUCAGUGUCGCAGCGAAAGCGAUAAACACACCGCCUGGGGAGUACGACCGCAAGGUUAAAACUCAAAUGAAUUGACGGGGACCCGCACAAGUAGUGGAGCAUGUGGUUUAAUUCGAAGAUACGCGCAGAACCUUACCAACACUUGACAUGUUCGUCGCAACUUUAAGAGAUUAAAGUUUUCGGUUCGGCCGGACGAAACACAGGUGCUGCAUGGCUGUCGUCAGCUCGUGUCGUGAGAUGUUGGGUUAAGUCCCGCAACGAGCGCAACCCUCACUUUUAGUUGCCAUCAUUAAGUUGGGCACUCUGAAAGAACUGCCAGUGAUAAGCUGGAGGAAGGUGGGGAUGACGUCAAGUCCUCAUGGCCCUUACGUGUUGGGCUACACACGUGCUACAAUGGUAUCUACAACAGGAAGCGAAACAGCGAUGUUAAGCAAAUCCUUAAAAGAUACCUCAGUUCGGAUUGCACUCUGCAACUCGAGUGCAUGAAGCUGGAAUUACUAGUAAUCGUGGAUCAGCGUGCCACGGUGAAUGCGUUCCCGGGUCUUGUACACACCGCCCGUCACACCAUGGGAGUUGGUUCUACCUUAAGGCAAGGUUUAAUACCCUUGACCACGGUAUAGUCAGCGACUGGGGUGAAGUCGUAACAAGGUAGCCGUA
Molecule: ribosomal RNA, 1439 nt
Filed under: uncultured bacterium
Lineage: Bacteria
Description: bacterial SSU rRNA
Rfam family: Bacterial small subunit ribosomal RNA
Source: RNAcentral